AAGAAGGGUAUCCCGGUGGAUUGAAAACCUAAAAGGGAGGUCCACGCAAAAGAGGGAAUAAGCGAAUGACUGCAAUCUGAGUUCAUCCGUGUUACAUCACCGUUUCAUUCAAUCCGGCAAUCUUCGAAUGUUAAAGAUCGACUAAUCAUCCACUUCAGAAAGCAAGAUGAGCAUAGCGUCUUGAGGUCAUACGAGCCAUAGAAGAGUCAAAUCUCAGUGGGACCCCGUAUCCUCAUUGCCAUUAGGACAGUGUUC
Molecule: long non-coding RNA, 255 nt
Filed under: Lathyrus oleraceus (garden pea)
Lineage: Eukaryota; Viridiplantae; Streptophyta; Magnoliopsida; Fabales; Fabaceae
Description: Pisum sativum (pea) long non-coding RNA (PSAT_LNC026012)
Source: RNAcentral